AAAACUGACCUCUCUUUUGGGCACUCACUCAUCUCUCCAUUCGUUUACAGGAGCAGUAUGGUACAUUGAAGGGUUAUUUGUUUUUUUAUUUACUUUCGCCCUUGAACUGCUUCUUUACUGUAAGGAAAGAUAAGGGACAGGACUAAAUGGAGAAGACUCAUAAAUGGCAGCAAAAGAAGAAGGUUACUUAAGUUAGUUAGUUUUUUUUUUUAUUCAUUACGCAUUGAAAAGUGUAACUAUAGCGAAAGGAAUCCAAGAAGGUAGCUUUCAAUAGGACCAACUAAACAUGUAGAAUGGUUUCAUUUGUUUUAUUCCAAUAGAUAUACAACAAUUAGGUUUUUAUUUGUUUGUUACACGUAGAAAAGAAGAUAUAAAAAGGAGCACUGAGCAGCUGUUUAUAUUUUCAAAGGUUUUCCCAUCAACAGCUAGAGUAUUCAGCCAUAACCUGAAAAUGGUACAUGAGAGAGAGAGAGAGAGGAAGGCUUUGCGAGCUGCAUAUACAAGGUGCUGAACAGUCGACCUUGUCAUCCUGAGCAAGCAUUAUAAUACCUAGAGAGAGAGAGAGAGAGAGAAUGUAGAGGAAGGCUUUGCGAGCUGCAUAUACAAGUUGCUGAACAGUCGACCUCGUUAGCCAGAGUAUCCUGAGCAAGCAUUAUAAUACCUAGAUAAGGGGCACGUUCGGCAGUCUGUACUCACCUCCCAGCGAGUGAUCAUCGGAAUGGUGUGUAUGAAGUGGUGAACAUACAUUAGCCUACUCAUACAGCAGAGUUCAGUGGCUGUUCUUAUUCCCUUAUUGAGAGAUGUGAACUAUUAUGAAGUCAGAAUCCAUCGGCAGCUGCUUAACUGUUUUCAACUUUUCAUUAUAGAUAUCACAUACAUUAGCCUACUCAUACAGCAGAGUUCAAUGGCUGUUCUUCAAGCUUUCCCUUACUGAGAGAUGUGAACUAUUACGAAGCCAGAAUCCAUCGGCAGCUGAUAAACUGUUUUCAACUUUUCAUUAUGAUUUCACACUUUCACUUCCAUUUAUUUAUUUUUUCUUUUGCAUACCUCAGCCAUACUAUCACUAAGAGAGAGUUGAUAUGUUGAAUUUAGCCAUUAAAUUGUAGAGGGGGUUCAUACGAAGCUCAGGGAAUCAAAUCUGGCAUACUGACAUGACUGAAACUAAUCUCAACGGAAUGGCCGGGAAAGAGAGCGUUUGCAAUAUGAACAGAAGAUCCACCUUCACAUGCUAACACACUGUUCUUGUAUGAAUUAUAGGAAACUGGGCCCAUAUUUCCAAACAUUUCGGGGUUCACACACCCACAAUUGAUAAGGCUUUCGUUGAGGUUGUGGGUAUUUCCAUAGGCAAUUUUAAGAGCCUAGUGAUAGUUUUACAAGGCUUCUGCUGCACCGCGAGCGCGGAAAGCACUCCUGAGAACACGACUACUCUCCCUUGUGGCCUUUGGAAAUAGUUGUGAGAGCCAAAAGCGUCUGAGAAUACGUGCCCUGUGUCUCGAAACUUCGUAGUGAAAUCUAUAUAUGGUUAAAUGUCCUGCUGGCAUUGUUCCCCAUCCCUACAUCUAGCCAGCGAGUUUGCAUCCUAUAACAGUAUAUUGCUACAUGAUUUAUAACACCACUCAGUCGAUUCUUGAAUGCCUACGUUUAGAAAAAAGGCAAAAAAUCUAAUCAUCUAAUACAUCUGAUAAGUAGCGCAGGUGUGAACUCUACAUGACCUUAAGUACGCCAUUAUCUAUAUGUAAGACCUCUAAUACGCCAUUAUCUAUGAACAUCAUGAUGAUUACAGUAUUUGUUGUAACAUUUUGCUGAAGGUUUUGAUAAGUCAACGGUAGUAUAUGUCUUGCCAUUCACAUAAGAAGGUAGAGAAAGAGGGAAAGGGAGGGAAGGAGGCUUAUGUGUUCUGGUAAUCCUUGUGAUCAGAGAGAGAGAGAGAGAGAGAGAGAGAGAGAGAGAGAGAGAGAGAGAGUCUUAAAAUGAUAAAAUUCGCUACAUGUUGCGUAUUUUCUUCACAGUGCGGAUGAGAUUGAGUCAUUCUUGGUGAUAUCUCGAGAGCAGGCGACUAACAGUAACUACCCACAACACUUCACCUCUAGAUGCUGUGGGGAGUUAAGAUGAAGAAUUGUGAUGCUUAGGGCGCUGAGAUGCAGAAAAAAGAUGCUGAAGGCCUGUGCCUCACGGGCGUCAUGCCGCGCGGGGCGACGCACUGGGCGGUGCCGGCGCUGCUGCUGCUGCUGUGCGUGCCAAGCCUCGCCACGAGACAGAAUGCAACGGUCGAACUGGAGCAGCAAGGUGAAGGUGAGGAUCUGCUUUUGUGUGUGUGUGUGUGUUUGUUCGUGUGUGUGUGUGUGUGUGUGUGUGUGUGUGUGUGUGUGUGUGUGUGUGUGUGUGUG
Molecule: long non-coding RNA, 2387 nt
Organism: Eriocheir sinensis (Chinese mitten crab)
Lineage: Eukaryota; Metazoa; Arthropoda; Malacostraca; Decapoda; Varunidae
Exons: 4
Source: RefSeq, a predicted model, not a curated record